RNAcentral lists this ribosomal RNA (484 nucleotides) under uncultured bacterium. RNAcentral describes it as "partial 16S ribosomal RNA". It matches the Rfam family "Bacterial small subunit ribosomal RNA", at positions 30 to 507 of the family's 1533-position model. The record is from RNAcentral.
AUUGAACGCUGGCGGCAUGCCUAAUACAUGCCAGUCGAGCGGACGGACGAGACGCUUGCCUCUCUGCUGUUAGCGGCGGACGGGUGAUUACCACGUGGAUGCCCGGCCUAUAAGACUAGCAUCCCUUCAGGAACCCUGAUCUCAUAUCCGAUCAUAUUUUGAACCUCAGGGUUCUUCAGUCAAAGACGGUCUUGCUGAGCCUAGUACGUAUUAGCUAGUUGGUAGGGUAACGGCCUACCAAGGCGACGAUCCAUAACUGAACUGAGAGGGUGAUCAGUCACACUGGAACUGAGACACGGUCCAGACUCCUACGGGAGGCAGCAGUAGGGAAUCUUCGGCAAUGGGCGAAAGCCUGACGGAGCAAUGCCGCGUGAGUGAUGAAGGUCUUCGGAUUGUAAAACUCUGUUAGUUGGGAAGAAGAGAUGUGUAAGUAACCGUGCAUAUCUUGACGGUACCAAAUCAGAAAGCCACGGCUAACUACGUG